CGGGUUUGAACGUAGGGAGACAGGGGUGGAAACAUCCUUUUCAGCAAUGACUGCCUACGAGGUGCUGCAUGGUUGUCGUCAGCUCGUGCCGUGAGGUGUCGGCUUAAGUGCCAUAACGAGCGCAACCCUUAUUUCCAGUUACUAACAGGUGAUGCUGAGGACUCUGGAGAGACUGCCAGCGUAAGCUGUGAGGAAGGUGGGGAUGACGUCAAAUCAGCACGGCCCUUACAUCCGGGGG
RNAcentral lists this ribosomal RNA (238 nucleotides) under uncultured bacterium. RNAcentral describes it as "partial 16S ribosomal RNA". It matches the Rfam family "Bacterial small subunit ribosomal RNA", at positions 976 to 1213 of the family's 1533-position model. The record is from RNAcentral.